This 650-nucleotide ribosomal RNA is filed under the name uncultured organism. RNAcentral's name for it is "bacterial SSU rRNA". It matches the Rfam family "Bacterial small subunit ribosomal RNA", at positions 682 to 1335 of the family's 1533-position model. The record is from RNAcentral.
UGAAAUGCUUAGAUAUUACACAGAACACCGAUUGCGAAGGCAGCUUACGAAACUAUGAUUGACGCUUGAGGCACGAAAGCGUGGGGAGCGAACAGGAUUAGAUACCCUGGUAGUCCACGCUGUAAACUAUGAUCACUGGUUGUUGGCAAUAUACCGUCAGCGACUGAGCGAAAGCAUUAAGUGAUCCACCUGGGGAGUACGUCGGCAACGAUGAAACUCAAAGGAAUUGACGGGGGCCCGCACAAGCGGAGGAACAUGUGGUUUAAUUCGAUGAUACGCGAGGAACCUUACCUGGGCUUAAAUGUAGAGUGCAUAGAGUGGAAACAUUCUUUUCCUUCGGGACUCUUUACAAGGUGCUGCAUGGUUGUCGUCAGCUCGUGCCGUGAGGUGUCGGGUUAAGUCCCAUAACGAGCGCAACCCUUGUCGUUAGUUGCUAGCAGGUCAAGCUGAGGACUCUAACGAGACUGCCGGUGUAAACCGAGAGGAAGGUGGGGAUGACGUCAAAUCAGCACGGCCCUUAUGUCCAGGGCUACACACGUGUUACAAUGGCCAGUACAAGGAGCAGCCACCUGGCAACAGGGCGCUAAUCUCANAAGCUGGUCACAGUUCGGAUCGGAGUCUGCAACUCGACUUCGUGAAGGUGGAUUCGC